This 215-nucleotide ribosomal RNA is filed under the name uncultured bacterium. RNAcentral's name for it is "partial 16S ribosomal RNA". It matches the Rfam family "Bacterial small subunit ribosomal RNA", at positions 1286 to 1500 of the family's 1533-position model. The record is from RNAcentral.
UCCCAGUUCGGAUUGUAGUCUGNAACCCGACUACAUGAAGCUGGAAUCGCUAGUAAUCGCGAAUCAGAAUGUCGCGGUGAAUACGUUCCCGGGUCUUGUACACACCGCCCGUCACACCAUGGGAGUCGGAAAUGCCCGAAGUCAGUGACCUAACCGAAAGGGAGGAGCUGCCGAAGGUGGAGCCGGUAACUGGGGUGAAGUCGUAACAAGGUAUC